GAUGAAAGAACGUAGCGAAAUGCGAUAAGUAAUGUGAAUUGCAGAAUUCAGUGAAUCAUCGAAUCUUUGAACGCACAUUGCGCCCCCUGGUAUUCCGGGGGGCAUGCCUGUCCGAGCGUCAUUACUGCCCUCAAGCCCGGCUUGCGUGUUGGGCCUCGUCCCCCCCCCGGUCUAGGGGUGGACGGGCCCGAAAGGCAGCGGCGGCGCCGUGCCCGGUCCUCGAGCGUAUGGGGCUUUGUCACCCGCUCUGGAGGCCCGGCCGGAAGCCAGCCGACCAAACCACCCCCCCAACUUUAACCGGUUGACCUCGGAUCAGGCAGGGAUACCCGCUGAACUUAAGCAUAUCAAUAAGCGGAGGA
Molecule: unclassified non-coding RNA, 359 nt
Filed under: soil metagenome
Description: partial contains 5.8S ribosomal RNA, internal transcribed spacer 2, and large subunit ribosomal RNA
Rfam family: 5.8S ribosomal RNA (bases 6-121)
Source: RNAcentral